This 77-nucleotide transfer RNA is filed under the name Methylicorpusculum oleiharenae. RNAcentral's name for it is "tRNA-Pro". It matches the Rfam family "tRNA". From Rfam's summary of the family: Transfer RNA (tRNA) molecules are approximately 80 nucleotides in length. RNAcentral also lists the same sequence under 3 other names. Lineage: Bacteria; Pseudomonadati; Pseudomonadota; Gammaproteobacteria; Methylococcales; Methylococcaceae. The record is from RNAcentral.
CGGGGCGUAGCGCAGCCUGGUAGCGCACUUGCAUGGGGUGCAAGGGGUCGAAGGUUCAAAUCCUUUCGUCCCGACCA